AAUGGAAAGGACUUGACUGGCACCAGCAGGUGUUUGAAGGAGAUGCAGUCUGAUUCUCUUGCUGAGGUUGAUUAAAGAGACAGAAAGGAAGAAGGGGGUGGGGAGAGCAGCGAGGAAGGAAAUACAUCCCUUCAAAAGGCAUUUCUCGCUUGUUCAACAAGCUCUCUCUGCACAGGUUUCUGGAGCAUUAGCAAAAGACAUAAUGCACAAAAGCAGUGGUAAGACCCAAGAACGUCCAGAUGGAAAUGAAUUUAUUAAUCCAUCUUCUGCAAAGCAGUGUCCUGAUUCAGUGCCACUAGUGAAGAGUGGAAAUGUGUCAGUGGUUCUGCAGUGGUCAUCUAAGAAAGGGAUCCAUCCUUUGAAUGAAAGCUGCCAGCAGGAUUUUCUCACAGCUUGCGAUGCUAGCAAAUUUGGGAAGUGUUCUAAAAAUGGCUCUUCCCCUUGCUCUAUCCGGAAGAGUGGUUCUGAUGUUUGGGGAGACCAUGAACCCAGAUGACAUGACAAGCCAAGAUUUGUGGGUUGUUGCUCCCAAAGCAGCAUGGCCAAGAGCAUGGAAGAAUGGAGACUUUUGAGCAUAGAACUCUUUUGCAUAGAACUAUCGGUUAACAUGUGCAGCCAUAGCCAAUGUGCGAUACGGAACUGGAAAGAUGUAAAUAAAACACUGGAAGCAAAAGUGGAUGAGUAGGCCUAAAGGCCUAAAAUGGGCUGAAAUACAACCAGAAUGCUUCUUGCACCACCUGGAGAACCAAAUGCCCACCACAUAUAGCGGGACUGUAUGACUAGCAGAGCACCAAAUGAAGAGUCUUUUAGAAAGAGGUACCUGUGCAAACCCUGCAAAGCUUAACAGAGCAACAAAAGUAACUAAAUUGAUUUCUGGGUGGCUGAGCUGACUCAAGAUCCCGCUAUGUUGUGCUGGAAAAGCUUCAAAAGAGCUAUGGGAGGGGGGGAAUUGACUUUCUCCUGCAAUUCAAAGUUCCAUGAGGAGCAGUGAGUACAGUCAGGUUCUGAAUUUGCCAGAAUGGUAGGAAUGAGAAACUGGGACAGGAAGGUUGAGGAAAGCAGGACCAGCAGAAGAAUUCAACCAAGUACAUUGGCGUUUACUCCAAGUAUGGCAAAGAGAAGCAAAAUUUUGCAUGAGGUGUCUUUGCCAGCUAAACAGUCAAUUGGGAAAAGUUUCUCUCAGCCAACUUGACAAGCGACUAGAUGGGACCUGCGGGUCAGCACCACAUGCAGUGUGAAGGAUAGCCUGGAAUUGACACACUCCGGGGUUUUUAUUGAGAGAUCCCAGUGGAUGCAAACUCAAGAGUUGAUUCAGUGCUGUUGUGAAAUCUCCAUACCUCACCUGGACUCUCAUUUUCAUGUUCCUAACCGUGGCAAGUUCUAUUGCAAUCGUAUGUUGGUCAAUGAUGACCCCGCCUUUUUGACUUUGCUGGAGAAGCAUAUUGGAUUUGUAGAUCAUCCUUAGAGUCUUCAGUGUUUUUAACAAUAAGAACGCCCUUCCCCACAUGUGUAUAUAUAUCCUUUCGUAGCUCACAGCCGUUUUUGUUUUCAAUUACACGUGCUGAUGUUCAUCGCCUCCAUCAUUUUUUGUAAUUUAAAUAAUGUACAGCUCUGUAUAUUCUGACUUUCUCUGCAAACAGCGGGAAGAAAUGCUGUACGCAUGGUCAUGUGUUUGUAAGUGCAUGUGUUGGAAUAGGAAGUAUACCAGUCUGUACUUAGAAGAGACAAACUCAGUACUAGUACUGACACUGAAAUUAUAGACACACACACACACACACACACACACACACUUUUUGGUUUAUUUUGAAAGUUAGAAAAUACAUAUUUUAUCUGGUGAUAAUUAUAUUUUGUAUAUAUUUUACAGGUUUCACAGGUCUAAUCUAGUAUUUGAUAUACAGAAACUGACAAUAGGCUUUUUGUUUUUGUUUUUGUAAAUGGAUAGCAGUGAUUAGGCAUUUGCACAAUAUUUACCAGAGGCAGAAUAGCUCAUUGGAUCGAUUCCUCAUUCAUGGUUGAUGCUCCUUUUUUCCUGCUUCACUUCUCUAAACAUUGCAGUGCUAGGUCAAAAUCAGCUGGACCUAUUUUUCUGAAUUAAAUGAACUGCUGCUCGUAACUGCAUUAGCCUACAUACCUAAAAAUGGUCAACUUUCAUAAAGCGCUUACACCUGC
Podarcis raffonei (Aeolian wall lizard) is the source of this 2169-nucleotide long non-coding RNA. RefSeq lists it as uncharacterized. NCBI's taxonomy places the organism in Eukaryota, Metazoa, Chordata, Lepidosauria, Squamata, Lacertidae. The record is from RefSeq and is a predicted model, not a curated record. The transcript has 2 exons.